AGAGUUUGAUCCUGGCUCAGAACGAACGCUGGCGGCGUGCCUAACACAUGCAAGUCGAACGGAGUUUAUUUUGUAGCAAUACGAGGUAAACUUAGUGGCGCACGGGUGAGUAACACGUAGGUAACCUUCCCUUAAGAGGGGGACAACUCAGGGAAACUUGAGCUAAUACCCCAUAAGACCACGAACUGAGAUAUUUGUGGUAAAAGUAGCAAUACGCUUAUGGAUGGGCCUGCGGCCUAUCAGGUAGUUGGUGAGGUAACGGCCCACCAAGCCUAAGACGGGUAGCCGGACUGAGAGGUCGAUCGGCCACACUGGAACUGAGACACGGUCCAGACUCCUACGGGAGGCAGCAGUGGGGAAUUUUGCACAAUGGGCGAAAGCCUGAUGCAGCGACGCCGCGUGGAGGAUGAAGGCUUUCGGGUCGUAAAGCUCUGUCAGAGGGGAAGAAAUGAGACUGGCUAAUAUCCAGUUUUCUUGACGGUAUCCUCAAAGGAAGCACCGGCUAACUCCGUGCCAGCAGCCGCGGUAAUACGGAGGGUGCAAGCGUUGUUCGGAUUUAUUGGGCGUAAAGCGCGUGUAGGCGGUUUCUUAAGUCUGAUGUGAAAGCCCUGGGCUCAACCCAGGAAGUGCAUUGGAUACUGGGAGACUUGAAUACGGGAGAGGGUAGUGGAAUUCCUAGUGUAGGAGUGAAAUCCGUAGAUAUUAGGAGGAACACCGGUGGCGAAGGCGGCUACCUGGACCGAUAUUGACGCUGAGACGCGAAAGCGUGGGGAGCAAACAGGAUUAGAUACCCUGGUAGUCC
RNAcentral lists this ribosomal RNA (802 nucleotides) under uncultured bacterium. RNAcentral's name for it is "bacterial SSU rRNA". It matches the Rfam family "Bacterial small subunit ribosomal RNA", at positions 8 to 796 of the family's 1533-position model. The record is from RNAcentral.